This is an RNA transcript of Andrographis paniculata, 2403 nucleotides long. It is a transcript of the gene named probable arabinosyltransferase ARAD1, with no coding region annotated. Lineage: Eukaryota; Viridiplantae; Streptophyta; Magnoliopsida; Lamiales; Acanthaceae. The transcript is spliced from 3 exons. The record is from RefSeq and is a predicted model, not a curated record.
CCAAUCAAGAUAUUCAAGAAAACGAAACGAGGGAAUGCCCGCUUCUUCAGUGCCUUCCUACACCCGCGCUUCUGGAAAUCCAUUCAUGGCGGAAAUUGAAGAAAUCAAUGACCUACACUUGAAGAAAAUCGCACAACUCAGGAAACCAAAGGAAAAAGGAAAAAGAGAAAGGUGAAACUUGCAGAGCAGGUAGAAGAAUCAAUCCAUACAGCCAAUUCUCUCUUCGAAUUUUUUCGAUCACAAUUCGCACUCGCCAUUGCGGAUUUCAAUCUGGAUUGUGUUGAAUCCCUAGGGUUUUUUUUUUUAAUUUCCCCAAUUUGAAUCUCCAAUUUGUCGAUUUUGCGUUCAUAUUGUGAUAUUUUGGUUAGCCUCGUGCAUGCGCUCGGUUAUUAUUAGGGCACAGAAAUGGCGGAAAAUUGGGGGAAAAUAUACAUCUGAUUUUGAUUUCGGAUUUUGAUUUAGGGCAUAGAAAUGAGCAGUGUUCGUUUCGUAUUACAAGUUUCUUGAAUGAAAUUCGAUUAUUACAAUGUCGAAAAUCGGACCUCUUUCUCAGAAAUCACUGUUCUAUUUGUUCUUGAUGACUUCAACGCUGCUGAUGAUGUCGAUGCUGUUAGUAGUGCUAAGGCCAAAUGGUCGGAUUUCUUCGCUUGAUCUUAGGUUAUUCCCAAGAGCUAAUGAGAAUCUUGUUGUAAGAUCAUCUUCUGUAGAAAUUAGCAAUGAAGAAGAAGAAGAUCAAUUAGGUUUGAGAGAUUGUGAAAUUCUCAAGGUGUUCAUGUAUGAUUUGCCACCCCAAUUCCAUUUUGCUCUCUUGGGAUGGAAAGGCGGCGGCAACGGCGCGUCGGUAUGGCCCGAUGUCCGAGCCUCUGAGGUCCCCGAAUACCCCGGCGGAUUGAAUUUACAGCACAGCGUCGAAUACUGGCUGACAUUGGAUCUCUUGAGUUCGGAGUUUGAAAGAAACUUGAGCGGUCGUAGCGCUGUAAGAGUGCAUGAUCCGCGUCUAGCUGAUGUUGUGUUUGUCCCAUUUUUCGCAUCGAUUAGCUACAAUAAGUUCUCGAAGGUUAAGGUAGGACAGAGGAGCGUGGACGAUUUAUUACAGGAGAAAUUGGUUCGAUUCUUGACGAGCCGGGAGGAAUGGAAGAGGUCGGGUGGCAAGGAUCAUAUAAUCGUCGCUCAUCAUCCGAAUAGCCUUUUGUCUUCGAGGAUGAAGCUGUGGCCGGCAACGUAUGUUCUUGCUGACUUCGGGAGGUACCCUCUGUCCGUCGCUAAUGUUGAGAAGGAUGUGAUCGCGCCGUACGUGCAUCUUGCGCAGAACUAUUUGGAUGAUCGAUCAGACUUCGAUAGCCGGCCGACUCUGCUCUACUUUCAGGGUGCUAUAUACCGAAAAGCUGGCGGAACUAUUCGACAAGAGCUUUAUUACAUGCUGCAAGAUGAAAAGGACGUGCAUUUCGCGUUCGGAAGCAUAAAAGGGGACGGCAUCAGCAACGCAUCCCUCGGGAUGCAGCAGUCGAAGUUUUGCCUCAACAUCGCCGGCGACACUCCCUCGUCCAAUCGUCUGUUCGACGCCAUCGCCAGCCACUGUGUUCCCGUAAUAAUCAGCGACGAAAUUGAGCUUCCCUAUGAAGACAUCCUUGACUACUCCGAGUUCUCCGUAUUUGUCUCCCGAGAAGAUGCCCUAAAAGAAAACUUCCUCAUAACCAUGAUCCGGAACAUCGGCAGAGAGGAGUGGACGAAAAUGUGGCGAAGGCUGAAAGAAGUCGAGCAGUUCUUCGAGUUCCGGUACCCGUCGCGGCCGAAUGACGCUGUGCAGAUGAUAUGGCAAGCGAUCGCGCGGAGGGUCCCUGCGGUUACAAGGAAAGUGAACCGGGCCAGUCGAUUUUCAGAGACAGCUGAGUCGUCGGGAGAGACGUGGCUUUGGUCGGCCCCUCUGCCAAGGAACUUUACGUGAGAUUCGACGACGACGACGUUUUUUCGAGGGGUAUUGAUGCAGGUUUCUGCAGAAAAAAUACGCCAUGGAUGAGCUGUGGAUGAGCUGUGGAAAGUUUUGUUUUGAACAGAUCGAUCUUUAAUGGAACUAGAGACAUUAGAACGAGAAAAAGUUACAUGGAAAAAGUGUGCUUGUUUGGCUUAGAGACGAAUGCCGUUUUAUCUUUGGAUAUGAACGUCAUCGGAGUCGGCGGCAAAGGUGGUGGCAGCGUCGCUGAAGAGAGCAGCAGCAACGCGGGCAAGUUUCAGUUUUGUAAAAAGGUGGCUGGGUACGGAGAGAAGAGAAUGAUAUUAUUAAGAGGAAGAGAUGAACUUAGAAUUUAAAUUAUUGUUAUUUUUUUUUUUAUUAAAAGAGUAAUAAUAAUAAUAAUAAUACACGUGUUGCUUUUUUGUGGAUUUGACUGUGUAGACCGUGAAAAA